GAGGCUAUAGCUCAGUGGUAGAGUGCAUGCUUAGCAUGCAGGAGGUCUUGGGUUCAAUCCCCAGUCUCUCCA
RNAcentral lists this transfer RNA (72 nucleotides) under Camelus bactrianus (Bactrian camel). It matches the Rfam family "tRNA". From Rfam's summary of the family: Transfer RNA (tRNA) molecules are approximately 80 nucleotides in length. Their secondary structure includes four short double-helical elements and three loops (D, anti-codon, and T loops). RNAcentral also lists the same sequence under 2 other names. Lineage: Eukaryota; Metazoa; Chordata; Mammalia; Artiodactyla; Camelidae. The record is from Rfam by way of RNAcentral.